Molecule: ribosomal RNA, 401 nt
Filed under: uncultured bacterium
Lineage: Bacteria
Description: bacterial SSU rRNA
Rfam family: Bacterial small subunit ribosomal RNA
Source: RNAcentral
CUGGUCUUGACAUCCACGGAAGUUUUCAGAGAUGAGAAUGUGCCUUCGGGAACCGUGAGACAGGUGCUGCAUGGCUGUCGUCAGUUCGUGUCGUGAGAUGUUGGGUUAAGUCCCGUAACGAGCGCAACCCUUGUCCUUAGUUACCAGCACGUUAUGGUGGGCACUCUAAGGAGACUGCCGGUGACAAACCGGAGGAAGGUGGGGAUGACGUCAAGUCAUCAUGGCCCUUACGGCCUGGGCUACACACGUGCUACAAUGGUCGGUACAAAGGGUUGCCAAGCCGCGAGGUGGAGCUAAUCCCAUAAAACCGAUCGUAGUCCGGAUCGCAGUCUGCAACUCGACUGCGUGAAGUCGGAAUCGCUAGUAAUCGCGAAUCAGAAUGUCGCGGUGAAUACGUUCCC